Molecule: ribosomal RNA, 119 nt
Organism: Sphaeramia orbicularis (orbiculate cardinalfish)
Lineage: Eukaryota; Metazoa; Chordata; Actinopteri; Kurtiformes; Apogonidae
Source: Ensembl
GCUUACGGCCAUACCACCCUGAACACGCCCGAUCUCGUCUGAUCUCGGAAGCUAAGUAGGGUCGGGCCUGGUCAGUACUUGGAUGGGAGACCGCCUGGGAAUACCAGGUGCUGUAAGCU